RNAcentral lists this ribosomal RNA (834 nucleotides) under Flavobacterium sp. TAP2-1_Pa. RNAcentral describes it as "bacterial SSU rRNA". It matches the Rfam family "Bacterial small subunit ribosomal RNA", at positions 57 to 896 of the family's 1533-position model. Lineage: Bacteria; Pseudomonadati; Bacteroidota; Flavobacteriia; Flavobacteriales; Flavobacteriaceae. The record is from RNAcentral.
GCAGUCGAGGGGUAUAUGUUCUUCGGAGUAUAUGAGACCGGCGCACGGGUGCGUAACGCGUAUGCAAUCUACCUUUUACAGAGGGAUAGCCCAGAGAAAUUUGGAUUAAUACCUCAUAGUAUUGCAGAAUGGCAUCAUUCAGCAAUUAAAGUCACAACGGUAAAAGAUGAGCAUGCGUCCCAUUAGCUAGUUGGUAAGGUAACGGCUUACCAAGGCUACGAUGGGUAGGGGUCCUGAGAGGGAGAUCCCCCACACUGGUACUGAGACACGGACCAGACUCCUACGGGAGGCAGCAGUGAGGAAUAUUGGACAAUGGGCGCAAGCCUGAUCCAGCCAUGCCGCGUGCAGGAUGACGGUCCUAUGGAUUGUAAACUGCUUUUAUACGAGAAGAAACACUCCUUCGUGAAGGAGCUUGACGGUAUCGUAAGAAUAAGGAUCGGCUAACUCCGUGCCAGCAGCCGCGGUAAUACGGAGGAUCCAAGCGUUAUCCGGAAUCAUUGGGUUUAAAGGGUCCGUAGGCGGUUUAAUAAGUCAGUGGUGAAAGCCCAUCGCUCAACGGUGGAACGGCCAUUGAUACUGUUAGACUUGAAUUAUUAGGAAGUAACUAGAAUAUGUAGUGUAGCGGUGAAAUGCUUAGAGAUUACAUGGAAUACCAAUUGCGAAGGCAGGUUACUACUAAUGGAUUGACGCUGAUGGACGAAAGCGUGGGUAGCGAACAGGAUUAGAUACCCUGGUAGUCCACGCCGUAAACGAUGGAUACUAGCUGUUGGGUGCAAACUCAGUGGCUAAGCGAAAGUGAUAAGUAUCCCACCUGGGGAGUACGUUCGCAAAAUG